This 65-nucleotide transfer RNA is filed under the name Cucujoidea sp. 46 KM-2017. RNAcentral describes it as "tRNA-Pro". Lineage: Eukaryota; Metazoa; Arthropoda; Insecta; Coleoptera. The record is from RNAcentral.
CAGAAAAUAGUUUAUUAAAAUUUUAAUUUUGGAGAUUAAAGAUAAAGAAAGUUCUUUUUUUCUGA